ACGACCAUACCCACUGGAAUAUACGGGAUCCCGUCCGCUCUCCCCUAGUCAAACCAGUGAAGGGCCGGAUUAAAACUCAUGGUGAAAGUGGGAUUCGGACUUCUCGACCUCUGGCCAAUA
Ribosomal RNA from Gaeumannomyces tritici R3-111a-1, 120 nucleotides. The record is from RefSeq and is a predicted model, not a curated record. Lineage: Eukaryota; Fungi; Ascomycota; Sordariomycetes; Magnaporthales; Magnaporthaceae.